GGGAGGGACCGACACAGGGAAGAUAAUCAAGGAGGAGUCCAGGUGAGGGACCGACACAGGGAAGAUAAUCAAGGAGGUGAUGGAGACCAGGUGAGUGACAGAUAUAGGGAAGAUAAUCAAGGAGGUGAUGGAGACCAGGUGGGUGACAGAUAGAGGGAAGAUAAUCAAGGAGGUGAUGGAGUCCAGGUGAGUGACAGAUAUUGGGAAGAUAAUCAAGGAGGUGAUGGAGACCAGGUGAGUGACAGAUAUUGGGAAGAUAAUCAAGGAGGUGAUGGAGACCAGGUGAGUGACAGAUAUAGGGAAGAUAAUCAAGGAGGUGAUGGAGACCAGGUGGGUGACAGAUAGAGGGAAGAUAAUCAAGGAGGUGAUGGAGUCCAGGUGAGUGACAGAUAUUGGGAAGAUAAUCAAGGAGGUGAUGGAGUCCAGG
Oncorhynchus tshawytscha (Chinook salmon) is the source of this 427-nucleotide long non-coding RNA. NCBI's taxonomy places the organism in Eukaryota, Metazoa, Chordata, Actinopteri, Salmoniformes, Salmonidae. The record is from Ensembl.